Molecule: ribosomal RNA, 481 nt
Filed under: Acidovorax delafieldii
Lineage: Bacteria; Pseudomonadati; Pseudomonadota; Betaproteobacteria; Burkholderiales; Comamonadaceae
Description: bacterial SSU rRNA
Rfam family: Bacterial small subunit ribosomal RNA
Source: RNAcentral
AUUGAACGCUGGCGGCAUGCCUUACACAUGCAAGUCGAACGGUAACAGGUCUUCGGAUGCUGACGAGUGGCGAACGGGUGAGUAAUACAUCGGAACGUGCCCGAGAGUGGGGGAUAACGAAGCGAAAGCUUUGCUAAUACCGCAUACGAUCUCAGGAUGAAAGCAGGGGACCGCAAGGCCUUGCGCUCACGGAGCGGCCGAUGGCAGAUUAGGUAGUUGGUGGGAUAAAAGCUUACCAAGCCGACGAUCUGUAGCUGGUCUGAGAGGACGACCAGCCACACUGGGACUGAGACACGGCCCAGACUCCUACGGGAGGCAGCAGUGGGGAAUUUUGGACAAUGGGCGCAAGCCUGAUCCAGCCAUGCCGCGUGCAGGAUGAAGGCCUUCGGGUUGUAAACUGCUUUUGUACGGAACGAAAAGACUCUGGUUAAUACCUGGGGUCCAUGACGGUACCGUAAGAAUAAGCACCGGCUAACUACGU